GCUCCCGUGGUGCUGCGCGGCAGCGCGCUGGGCGGUUGCUGUGGUGACAGUCCUGCGGGCGCGGGCGGAGGUGUCAUGGCCGCACGGCGGUGCAGGAGGCCCUGCGCGCUUCCCCCCCUUUUGGCGGCGGCUCGCGGUGCCCCUCAAGGCGACUCGGCCUCGAAGGCUCAGCCCGGCGUGGGGGGCGGCAGCGAAUCCCAGUGUCUUGGCGGUUCCCUUAUACGAGAGGUGUAGGAAACCCGGUGCCUGCCGUAUUAAUUAAUGCGUGUGGUCAUUAAUCUUCAGUCCAAAGGGCUCCAAUCUUUCACUUUACAGCUUACAAUCACAUCCAAAUUUUCAUGCUAAUUUAGAAAAAAUUACAGAAUUGCAACGGUUGGGAGAGACCUCGAGAUCGUCAAGUCCAACCCCCUUACUAAAGCGGUUACCCUACAACAGGUCACACAGCCUCAUAAGGACAGAAACAAGAAUAUCUUUCAAGAGGCUGUGUGUUACAUUACUGUAUGGGAACUGCUGAGUCAUGGCCUGAACCACUGAUUGAUCACCUGUGAAAAGGACUGGAUCAGCCCUGGGAGCACAGGGUUUCCAAGAAGGCAAUGUAAAGGAUAUCCAACGUCAACAAGUGCUUUUGUUGCCAAUGCCUACUGCAGAGGAGGGUGAGGAGGCUGCCAAGAAGAGUUUCAGAAUGGAUGAAAGCCCUACACCAAACAAAGGUCUAAAGGCUGUGGUCGAGAGCAGGCAUGGACUGACCAACUAUCCACCAUUUUUGCCUCCAAAUAUUUUCCAAGUUUUAACCCUUCAUGAGAGGCUGUUCUUGUCUUGCUCAGGUAGGUGACUUUUUUUACUUAUUCCAGUUUCUACUUCAUUGUCAUUAUUAUUAUAGACUAAAUACAGCAUUCUGUAUGGGUACUGACUAAGUAAUAUUU
This 923-nucleotide long non-coding RNA is filed under the name Gallus gallus (chicken). RNAcentral describes it as "long non-coding RNA NONGGAT005724". The record is from RNAcentral. Lineage: Eukaryota; Metazoa; Chordata; Aves; Galliformes; Phasianidae.